Mastomys coucha (southern multimammate mouse) is the source of this 133-nucleotide small nucleolar RNA. RefSeq annotates it as small nucleolar RNA SNORA17. Lineage: Eukaryota; Metazoa; Chordata; Mammalia; Rodentia; Muridae. The transcript has a single exon. The record is from RefSeq and is a predicted model, not a curated record.
CCAGCCUUAGAGAUGUUGCAAGUGUGGCUGCUGUGUCACUUGUACAUCAGUAGGUGGCAGAGAGGAGAGAGAGACUCAGUGCUAUGUCUGUACUCAGUGCUAUGACCUCUGGAAAAGGGGAGCCUGAGACAAC